AACGAACGCUGGCGGCAGGCCUAACACAUGCAAGUCGAGCGAGGACUUCGGUUCUAGCGGCGGACGGGUGAGUAACGCGUGGGAAUGUGCCCUUCUCUACGGAAUAGCCCUGGGAAACUGGGAGGAAUACCGUAUACGCCCUAUUGGGGAAAGAUUUAUCGGAGAAGGAUCAGCCCGCGUUGGAUUAGGUAGUUGGUGGGGUAAUGGCCUACCAAGCCGACGAUCCAUAGCUGGUUUGAGAGGAUGAUCAGCCACACUGGGACUGAGACACGGCCCAGACUCCUACGGGAGGCAGCAGUGGGGAAUCUUAGACAAUGGGGGCAACCCUGAUCUAGCCAUGCCGCGUGAGUGCUGAAGGCCUUAGGGUUGUAAAGCUCUUUCAGCUGGGAAGAUAAUGACGGUACCAGCAGAAGAAGCCCCGGCUAACUCCGUG
RNAcentral lists this ribosomal RNA (433 nucleotides) under uncultured bacterium. Its description in RNAcentral is "partial 16S ribosomal RNA". It matches the Rfam family "Bacterial small subunit ribosomal RNA", at positions 29 to 507 of the family's 1533-position model. The record is from RNAcentral.